Molecule: ribosomal RNA, 510 nt
Filed under: uncultured bacterium
Lineage: Bacteria
Description: partial 16S ribosomal RNA
Rfam family: Bacterial small subunit ribosomal RNA
Source: RNAcentral
GACGAACGCUGGCGGCGUGCUUAACACAUGCAAGUCGAACGAAGAGCGACGGAAGCUUGCUUCUAUCAAUCUUAGUGGCGCACGGGUGAGUAACGCGUAAUCAACCUGCCCUUCAGAGGGGGACAACAGUUGGAAACGACUGCUAAUACCGCAUACGAUCUAACCUCGGCAUCGAGGAUAGAUGAAAGGUGGCCUCUACAUGUAAGCUAUCACUGAAGGAGGGGAUUGCGUCUGAUUAGCUAGUUGGAGGGGUAACGGCCCACCAAGGCGAUGAUCAGUAGCCGGCCGGAGAGGAUGAACGGCAACAUUGGGACUGAGACACGGCCCAGACUCCUACGGGAGGCAGCAGUGGGGAAUCUUCCGCAAUGGACGAAAGUCUGACGGAGCAACGCCGCGUGAGUGAUGACGGCCUUCGGGUUGUAAAGCUCUGUUAAUCGGGACGAAAGGCCUUCUUGCGAAUAGUGAGAAGGAUUGACGGUACCGGAAUAGAAAGCCACGGCUAACUACGUG